This 283-nucleotide non-coding RNA is filed under the name Dethiobacter alkaliphilus AHT 1. RNAcentral's name for it is "Bacterial large subunit ribosomal RNA". It matches the Rfam family "Bacterial large subunit ribosomal RNA", at positions 2645 to 2925 of the family's 2925-position model. Lineage: Bacteria; Bacillati; Bacillota; Dethiobacteria; Dethiobacterales; Dethiobacteraceae. The record is from Rfam by way of RNAcentral.
UCAUGGGCGGUAGGCAAAUUGAGAGAGGCUGUCCCUAGUACGACGAGGACCGGGAUGGACAGACCUCUUGGUGUACCAGUUGUCUGCCCAGAGCACUGCUGGGUAGCUAUGUCUGGACGGGAUAAGCGCUGAAAGCAUCUAAGCGCGAAGCCCCCUCUAAGAUAAGUUUUCCCGCUCGGUUAACGAGGUAAGACCCCAGAGAGAUGAUCUGGUUGAUAGGCGGAGGUGUAAUGGCAGCAAUGUCUUAAGCUGACCGGUACUAAUAGGUCGAGGACUUAACCUA